Molecule: ribosomal RNA, 324 nt
Filed under: uncultured Bacteroidota bacterium
Lineage: Bacteria; Pseudomonadati; Bacteroidota
Description: bacterial SSU rRNA
Rfam family: Bacterial small subunit ribosomal RNA
Source: RNAcentral
GAUGAACGCUAGCUACAGGCUUAACACAUGCAAGUCGAGGGGUAGCAGGGUAGCAAUACCGCUGACGACCGGCGCACGGGUGAGUAACACGUAUCCAACCUUCCCAUGACUCAGGGAUAGCCUUUCGAAAGAAAGAUUAAUACCUGAUAGUACUUUUUUGAGGCAUCUUGAAAAGUUAAAGAUUUAUCGGUUAUGGAUGGGGAUGCGUUCCAUUAGAUAGUUGGUGAGGUAACGGCUCACCAAGUCUUCGAUGGAUAGGGGGUUCUGAGAGGAAGGUCCCCCACAUUGGUACUGAGACACGGACCAAACACCUACGGGAGGCAG